UUAAAUAGUAGCACUUUAUUUCAUGCUUACUACUGACUUAAUUUAUACAUUUAAAAAUAAAAUCUAGGAGUUUUGUAAAUAUGGAAAAACUAAUGAAUUAGUAUGUAGAGCUCAUUGGAUUGGACCCAAGUAAAAUGCUUUACAAUGAUCUCUUGAUCUUUUGAUAUUUAAAAGGCAACUUGUAUGAUUUUAGCUUUGCCACUUUUCUGUAAUUUAUUUAGUAAAGACUACCCAGUUGACUGUUUUGUACUCUGAGUUCGCUCAGCUAGCUUCAACCAGGUUUGGUUUACAGUAAUCAUUUCUGCUUUGCAUUUUUUGUACAUUACAUGAAUAUUUGGAAAUCCAUUUAUGUGAUUUUAAGUCAUAGGUAGGGGUUAAGUUAAUACUGCACCACAAGUAAGUUGAAGAGGGCAAAGUCCUGACACAAUCUACUUGUCAAGGGUCAGGAUUUAAGACACUAAAAACAGUUUACAUUAAGCUGUUUUUGUUUUCUAUCAUUAGAAUAUAUGUGCUUAAAAAAAUAAAAACUGUCCAACCCAGUGUUCUUAGAGCAUCAGGACAUUGCAAUUACAAUCCAUAUUGUAAUCUUUUCAAAUGAGAAAAGCUAGUCUUUAUUUUCUACAGUGUAGGCUUAAUUUUAGGACAGAUAAUUUGCUAUAUACUCAUUAGUGGUAUUUUUAAGUAGUAGUUUUACAAAUAUUUCUAUGUAGAGGGUGUAUGGGAUUUUUUUUUCUUGUAACAGGUGCUAUAUGUAAAUAUGAAGGGCGAAAGUCACUUAGUUAAAAGUCUAGUUUAUUUCGUAAUUAAAAUAUAGUUUUGCAUUUCUGCUGUCAUUUCACGUUUGAUAAUACUGAACUAGUAGCUCUCCCCCCAUUUCUCAAAAAUAGCUCUUUCCAUAUCCUUUGUUUCCAUAAAUAAGAGGUAAAGAAACUUAGGGUUUAUUUAAAAUGUGUAAGCUUGAAUUUGGUCAAUACUGGAUAAUUUGAAAUCAUACUCUGCAUCUGUCAAUACAGCUUACUGUAUGCUUGAAAGGCCUUGUGUAUUUGUCUUAAUUUCAGUGAAAAAUUAGAAUUCCUGCAGUUCAUUCAUGUAAAAAAAAAAUCUAUGAAUACUAACAGAGGAUAAAAAUGCCGAUUUGCAUUAAAACUGUUUAGUCCUAAGAGCGAUUUAUGUGAUGUGAAAUACUAUUACACAUAUUUGUUGACCAUAUUUCAUUUUUUUAAUUGAGAAAUAGUUGUUCAGGUACAAACGUGAAAAAACUCUAGCUGUGACUUUAACUGUUCAAUUGCAAAAUAAA
RNAcentral lists this long non-coding RNA (1297 nucleotides) under Canis lupus familiaris (dog). Its description in RNAcentral is "lncRNA (ENSCAFG00000052946.1, ENSCAFG00805025005.1, ENSCAFG00845028241.1)". The record is from RNAcentral. Lineage: Eukaryota; Metazoa; Chordata; Mammalia; Carnivora; Canidae.